AGAGUUUGAUCCUGGCUCAGAUUGAACGCUGGAGGCGUGCUUAACACAUGCAAGUCGUGCGAGAAAGGGACUUCGGUCCUGAGUAGAGCGGCGCACGGGUGAGUAACGCGUGGGUGAUCUCCCUUGGUGAUCGGGAUAACAGCGGGAAACUGCUGCUAAUACCGGAUAAUCUUCAUGUUUAACUUCAUGGGUAAAGGUGG
This 200-nucleotide ribosomal RNA is filed under the name uncultured bacterium. RNAcentral describes it as "partial 16S ribosomal RNA". It matches the Rfam family "Bacterial small subunit ribosomal RNA", at positions 8 to 210 of the family's 1533-position model. The record is from RNAcentral.